UGGGGAAUCUUCCGCAAUGGGCGAAAGCCUGACGGAGCAACGCCGCGUGAGUGAUGACGGCCUUCGGGUUGUAAAGCUCUGUGAUCGGGGACGAACGGUUGCAGGAAUAAUACUCCUGUGAAGUGACGGUACCCGAAUAGCAAGCCACGGCUAACUACGUGCCAGCAGCCGCGGUAAUACGUAGGUGGCAAGCGUUGUCCGGAAUUAUUGGGCGUAAAGCGCGCGCAGGCGGCUUCCUAAGUCCAUCUUAAAAGUGCGGGGCUUAACCCCGUGAUGGGAUGGAAACUGGGAAGCUGGAGUAUCGGAGAGGAAAGUGGAAUUCCUAGUGUAGCGGUGAAAUGCGUAGAGAUUAGGAAGAACACCGGUGGCGAAGGCGACUUUCUGGACGACAACUGACGCU
Molecule: ribosomal RNA, 400 nt
Filed under: uncultured bacterium
Lineage: Bacteria
Description: bacterial SSU rRNA
Rfam family: Bacterial small subunit ribosomal RNA
Source: RNAcentral